Molecule: ribosomal RNA, 446 nt
Filed under: uncultured bacterium
Lineage: Bacteria
Description: partial 16S ribosomal RNA
Rfam family: Bacterial small subunit ribosomal RNA
Source: RNAcentral
CCUACGGGGUGCAGCAGUCGAGAAUCAUUCACAAUGGGGGAAACCCUGAUGGUGCGACGCCGCGUGGGGGAAUGAAGGUCUUCGGAUUGUAAACCCCUGUCAUGUGGGAGCAAAUUAAAAAGAUAGUACCACAAGAGGAAGAGACGGCUAACUCUGUGCCAGCAGCCGCGGUAAUACAGAGGUCUCAAGCGUUGUUCGGAAUCACUGGGCGUAACGCGUGCGUAGGCUGUUUCGUAAGUCGUGUGUGAAAGGCGCGGGCUCAACCCGCGGACGGCACAUGAUACUGCGAGACUAGAGUAAUGGAGGGGGAACCGGAAUUCUCGGUGUAGCAGUGAAAUGCGUAGAUAUCGAGAGGAACACUCGUGGCGAAGGCGGGUUCCUGGACAUUAACUGACGCUGAGGCACGAAGGCCAGGGGAGCGAAAGGGAUUAGAUACCCUGGUAGUC